Non-coding RNA from Nitrosospira sp. 56-18, 73 nucleotides. The record is from Rfam. Lineage: Bacteria; Pseudomonadati; Pseudomonadota; Betaproteobacteria; Nitrosomonadales; Nitrosomonadaceae.
GCCCUGGUAGCUCAGUGGAUAGAGCAACCCCCUCCUAAGGGGUAGGUCACACGUUCGAUUCGUGUUCAGGGCG